Small nuclear RNA from Meriones unguiculatus (Mongolian gerbil), 107 nucleotides. Lineage: Eukaryota; Metazoa; Chordata; Mammalia; Rodentia; Muridae. The record is from Ensembl.
GUGCUUGCUUUGGUAUCACAUAUACUAAAAUUGGAAUGAUACAAAGAGUAUUAGCAUGGCCCCCUCAUUAGGAUGACACACACAUUAGGGACAAAUUCAUCUUUUUU